GAUUAAAAAAAAAAGCACGCCCGAUCUCGUCCGAUCUCGGAAGCCAAGCAGGGUCGGCCUGGUUAGUACUUGGACGGGAGACCGCCUGGGAAUACCAGGUGCUGUAAGCU
This 110-nucleotide ribosomal RNA is filed under the name Seriola dumerili (greater amberjack). Lineage: Eukaryota; Metazoa; Chordata; Actinopteri; Carangiformes; Carangidae. The record is from RNAcentral.